CAGUCGCCGCGGGAAUACAGAGGGUGCGAGCGUUAAUCGGAUUUACUGGGCGUAAAGCGUGCGUAGGCGGCUUUUUAAGUCGGAUGUGAAAUCCCUGAGCUUAACUUAGGAAUUGCAUUCGAUACUGGGAAGCUAGAGUAUGGGAGAGGAUGGUAGAAUUCCAGGUGUAGCGGUGAAAUGCGUAGAGAUCUGGAGGAAUACCGAUGGCGAAGGCAGCCAUCUGGCCUAAUACUGACGCUGAGAUACGAAAGCAUGGGGAGCAAACAGGAUUAGAUACCCCGGUAGUCCCUGUCUCUUAUAA
RNAcentral lists this ribosomal RNA (301 nucleotides) under uncultured bacterium. RNAcentral's name for it is "partial 16S ribosomal RNA". It matches the Rfam family "Bacterial small subunit ribosomal RNA", at positions 509 to 809 of the family's 1533-position model. The record is from RNAcentral.